GUUUUGAGCAAGACAGGUUAUUUGCAUCAUCACUGAAUGGGCUUACAGUGAUGCUAACAGGGCAAGGUGCCACAAAAAAUAGGGUCUUUCCAUGUGAA
Molecule: long non-coding RNA, 98 nt
Organism: Alosa sapidissima (American shad)
Lineage: Eukaryota; Metazoa; Chordata; Actinopteri; Clupeiformes; Clupeidae
Exons: 3
Source: RefSeq, a predicted model, not a curated record